This 194-nucleotide unclassified non-coding RNA is filed under the name plant metagenome. RNAcentral's name for it is "partial contains small subunit ribosomal RNA, internal transcribed spacer 1, and 5.8S ribosomal RNA". The record is from RNAcentral.
UUUCCGUAGGUGAACCUGCGGAAGGAUCAUUACAGAGUUCAUGCCCGAAAGGGUAGACCUCCCACACUUGUGUAUUAUUACUUUGUUGCUUUGGCGCGCGCCAGCUCGCCAAAGAAUACAAAAACUCUUUUUAUUUAUGUCGUCUGAGUACUAUAUAAUAGUUAAAACUUUCAACAACGGAUCACUUGGUUCUG